UCUCUGGUCUGUACUGACGCUGAGGCGCGAAAGCGUGGGGAGCAAACAGGAUUAGAUACCCUGGUAGUCCACGCCGUAAACGAUGAGUGCUAGGUGUUAGGGGUUUCGACGCCCUUAGUGCCGAAGUUAACACAUUAAGCACUCCGCCUGGGGAGUACGACCGCAAGGUUGAAACUCAAAGGAAUUGACGGGGGCCCGCACAAGCAGUGGAGCAUGUGGUUUAAUUCGAAGCAACGCGAAGAACCUUACCAGGUCUUGACAUCCUUUGACCACCCUAGAGAUAGGGCUUUCCCCUUCGGGGGACAAAGUGACAGGUGGUGCAUGGUUGUCGUCAGCUCGUGUCGUGAGAUGUUGGGUUAAGUCCCGCAACGAGCGCAACCCUUGACCUUAGUUGCCAGCAUUCAGUUGGGCACUCUAAGGUGACUGCCGGUGACAAACCGGAGGAAGGUGGGGAUGACGUCAAAUCAUCAUGCCCCUUAUGACCUGGGCUACACACGUGCUACAAUGGAUGGUACAAAGGGUUGCGAAGCCGCGAGGUGAAGCCAAUCCCAGAAAGCCAUUCUCAGUUCGGAUUGCAGGCUGCAACUCGCCUGCAUGAAGCCGGAAUUGCUAGUAAUCGCGGAUCAGCAUGCCGCGGUGAAUACGUUCCCGGGCCUUGUACACACCGCCCGUCACACCACGAGAGUUUGUAACACCCGAAGUCGGUGGGGUAACCUUUUGGAGCCAGCCGCCUAAGGUGGGACAGAUGAUUGGGGUGAAGUCGU
Molecule: ribosomal RNA, 764 nt
Filed under: Bacillus sp. BAB-5294
Lineage: Bacteria; Bacillati; Bacillota; Bacilli; Caryophanales; Bacillaceae
Description: bacterial SSU rRNA
Rfam family: Bacterial small subunit ribosomal RNA
Source: RNAcentral